UACGGAGGGUGCAAGCGUUAUCCGGAUUUAUUGGGUUUAAAGGGUGCGUAGGCGGUUAUUUAAGUCAGUGGUGAAAGUUUUCGGCUCAACCGGAAAAUUGCCAUUGAUACUGGGCAGCUAGAAUCUGGUUGGUGUGAGUUGAAUGUGGGGUGUUGCGGUGAAAUGCAUAGAUAUCACACAGAAUACCGAUUGCGAAGGCAUCUCACAAAGCCAUCAUUGACGCUGAGGCACGAAAGUGUGGGGAUCAAACAGGAUUAGAUACCCUGGUAGUCCACACUGUAAACGAUGAUAACUAGCUGUUGGCGAUACACAGUCAGUGGCCAAGCGAAAGCGAUAAGUUAUCCACCUGGGGAGUACGACCGCAAGGUUGAAACUCAAAGGAAUUGACGGGG
This 392-nucleotide ribosomal RNA is filed under the name uncultured bacterium. Its description in RNAcentral is "partial 16S ribosomal RNA". It matches the Rfam family "Bacterial small subunit ribosomal RNA", at positions 524 to 918 of the family's 1533-position model. The record is from RNAcentral.